RNAcentral lists this ribosomal RNA (496 nucleotides) under uncultured bacterium. RNAcentral's name for it is "partial 16S ribosomal RNA". It matches the Rfam family "Bacterial small subunit ribosomal RNA", at positions 29 to 507 of the family's 1533-position model. The record is from RNAcentral.
AUGAACGCUGGCGGCGUGCCUAAUACAUGCAAGUCGAGCGAACAGAUAAGGAGCUUGCUCCUUUGACGUUAGCGGCGGACGGGUGAGUUACACGUGGAUAACCUACCUAUAAGACUGGGAUAACUUCGGGAAACCGGAGCUAAUACCGGAUAACAUAUUGAACCGCAUGGUUCAAUAGUGAAAGGCGGCUUUGCUGUCACUUAUAGAUGGAUCCGCGCCGUAUUAGCUAGUUGGUAAGGUAACGGCUUACCAAGGCAACGAUACGUAGCCGACCUGAGAGGGUGAUCGGCCACACUGGAACUGAGACACGGUCCAGACUCCUACGGGAGGCAGCAGUAGGGAAUCUUCCGCAAUGGGCGAAAGCCUGACGGAGCAACGCCGCGUGAGUGAUGAAGGUCUUCGGAUCGUAAAACUCUGUUAUCAGGGAAGAACAAAUGUGUAAGUAACUGUGCACAUCUUGACGGUACCUGAUCAGAAAGCCACGGCUAACUACGUG